This 250-nucleotide ribosomal RNA is filed under the name uncultured prokaryote. Its description in RNAcentral is "partial 16S rRNA". It matches the Rfam family "Bacterial small subunit ribosomal RNA", at positions 525 to 775 of the family's 1533-position model. The record is from RNAcentral.
ACGUAGGUGGCAAGCGUUGUCCGGAAUUAUUGGGCGUAAAGGGCGUGUAGGCGGCCAGACAAGUCUGUCUUAAAAGUGCGGGGCUCAACCCCGUGAUGGGAUGGAAACUGUCGGUCUAGAGUGUCGGAGAGGAAAGCGGAAUUCCUAGUGUAGCGGUGAAAUGCGUAGAUAUUAGGAGGAACACCAGUGGCGAAGGCGGCUUUCUGGACGACAACUGACGCUGAGGCGCGAAAGCGAGGGGAGCAAACGG